Sorex araneus (European shrew) is the source of this 786-nucleotide long non-coding RNA. RefSeq lists it as uncharacterized. NCBI's taxonomy places the organism in Eukaryota, Metazoa, Chordata, Mammalia, Eulipotyphla, Soricidae. The transcript has 3 exons. The record is from RefSeq and is a predicted model, not a curated record.
UUUCUCCCAGGCGCUGGACCCCUCAUUGCUGCAGUGCUGGAUGCUGUUCAGCCCUCCGUACCCCUCAGGUCCUGUCGGGAGCUGCCGCUGAUUCCCUGAGGCGCCAGCCUGGGGCCAGAGGCAUAAUCCUCUCAAGUUCCAUCUCUGUAGUCACAAACCUCAAAAUAUCAUCUUUGAAAUGACCCCUUUGACAUGGUGGUAUGUCAGAAGAGCUAACAACAAAAUACUCAUGGUUGAAGCUAAAUUUAAAGCAACAAAUUUAAACCACACAGGAAGGGUAUAUUACACUGGUGAGUGGGAUCUUUGGGGUCUAUCAUUACUGGUUUCUUUGCGGGACGGCCAGACUGUUUUCCAUUUCGCCUCCUUCAGUGACAUCUGAGGAUUCUCACCUCUGUGCAUUCGUCUCCACCCCACAGACAGGGCUGCGCGUCCACUUCCAGAUUUUUCCAUGUCUUCCCACCACAUCUCGCAUCUCGUGGUUUUCAGAGCAUAUGUCUUGCAUUUCUUUUGUUCAGUUGACUUGGAGCUCUUGCUUUUAUUGCUCUAUAAAAGGAAUUGUCUGUUUCGGGUUCAAUUAUUCAUUGCAAGGGCAUCAAAAUACAUUUCUGCCCAUUGAUCACCGCGGCCUCGUUGAAUCCAUACGCAUGCCCUUACUUAGAUAGUGGGUGCUAAGGGAAUGUCAGCUGCAAAUGGUUUGCUUCUUCCUCUUAUUCUCCAAGCCCUAAUUGCCUGAACUUAGAACUUCCAGCACCAGGUUACAGAGAAGUGAAAACAGACAUUUUUGCC